GGUCCACCAGCACUCCCCUCGCUUACUCUUCUGGGUGGGAAGUGGGGAGGAGAAGAAAAGAAAAUUUAAGAUCCAGAACUAAGCGCACUGCACAAAUCAGGGACAAGGACUCUUGUAAGGGCCUGAUAACUUCCUGCUCUUUUAACUCUCACUGCACUCCAGAAUAAGAGAAAGUCUGAUAAUUAUGGAUUUCAGGGCAAAGAAUCCUGGACACGCAUGACCCACGGAAACAGCGCUUGGACAACUGCCGGGUGACAAAGCUAGAGCUUUCUGUG
Molecule: long non-coding RNA, 275 nt
Organism: Hyaena hyaena (striped hyena)
Lineage: Eukaryota; Metazoa; Chordata; Mammalia; Carnivora; Hyaenidae
Exons: 3
Source: RefSeq, a predicted model, not a curated record